Molecule: ribosomal RNA, 483 nt
Filed under: Megaselia sp. 10 SH-2017
Lineage: Eukaryota; Metazoa; Arthropoda; Insecta; Diptera; Phoridae
Description: eukaryotic LSU rRNA
Rfam family: Eukaryotic large subunit ribosomal RNA
Source: RNAcentral
CAGCACUAAGUGGGUGGUAAACUCCAUCUAAAACUAAAUAUAACCAUGAGACCGAUAGCAAACAAGUACCGUGAGGGAAAGUUGAAAAGAACUCUGAAUAGAGAGUUAAAUAGUACGUGAAACUGCUUAGAGGUUAAGCCCGAUGAACCUGAAUAUCCGUUGUAGAAAAUUCAUCAUCAAUUUUGUGAUAUUUUUUUAAAAUAUUAUCUAAAUGGUGUGCACUUUUUCUACUUAAGGACAUUGUAAUCUGUUAAUGUUUAAAUGCGUAUUAUAAGAACAUUUACAAUAGUUUUUACAUUAUUUAAUUUAUUAAAUAUAGUUUAAAUGUAAAUGCUUCGAAUAUGCCAUUGACAGAUUUUUACAUAUAUUGCACUUAAAUCUUUUCGAAGAUUUUAUAAUAAUAUGAUUAUCAUUGAUUUUUGUAUUUAUUAUAUGUGCAUAUAUGAUUGACAAUGCGAAAGAUUCAGGAUACCUUCGGGACCC